This 253-nucleotide ribosomal RNA is filed under the name uncultured bacterium. RNAcentral's name for it is "partial 16S ribosomal RNA". It matches the Rfam family "Bacterial small subunit ribosomal RNA", at positions 524 to 776 of the family's 1533-position model. The record is from RNAcentral.
UACAGAGGGGGCAAGCGUUGUUCGGAAUUACUGGGCGUAAAGGGCGCGUAGGCGGCCUGUUAAGUCGAACGUGAAAUCCCCGGGCUCAACCCGGGAACUGCGUCCGAUACUGGCAGGCUUGAAUUCGGGAGAGGGAUGUGGAAUUCCAGGUGUAGCGGUGAAAUGCGUAGAUAUCUGGAGGAACACCGGUGGCGAAGGCGGCAUCCUGGACCGAUAUUGACGCUAAUGCGCGAAAGCCAGGGGAGCAAACGGG